Molecule: ribosomal RNA, 1104 nt
Filed under: uncultured bacterium
Lineage: Bacteria
Description: bacterial SSU rRNA
Rfam family: Bacterial small subunit ribosomal RNA
Source: RNAcentral
GAUGAACGUUGGCGGCGUGUUUAAGGCAUGCAAGUCGAGCGACGUGUUCCCGCAAGGGAAUUACGAGCGGCAGACGGGUGAGUAACACAUUGGUAACCUACCUUCAAGACGGGGAUAGCUCUCCGAAAGGAGAAUUAAUACCCGAUGGUCAUGUGGGGACGCGAGUCAUUCACAUGUAAAUCCCACGGGGCUUGAAGAAGGGCCUAUGUCCUAUCAGCUAGUUGGUAAGGUAAUGGCUUACCAAGGCUAUGACGGGUAGCAGGCGUGAGAGCGUGACCUGCCUCACUGGGACUGAGACACUGCCCAGACUCCUACGGGAGGCUGCAGUCGAGAAUAUUCCACAAUGGGGGAAACCCUGAUGGAGCGACGCCGCGUGCAGGAAGAAGUCCUUCGGGAUGUAAACUGCUUUUGCGUGGGACGAAUUAUUGACGGUACCACGAGAAUAAGAGGUUGCUAACUCUGUGCCAGCAGCAGCGGUAAUACAGAGACCUCAAACGUUAUCCGGAUUUAUUGGGCAUAAAGGGUCCGCAGGUGGCUUGAUAAGUUGGGUGUUAAAUUCCAGAGCUUAACUUUGGAACUGCAUUCAAAACUAUCAAGCUUGAGAGUGGGAGAGGCAAACGGAACUGCAGGUGUAGUCGUAAUAAGCGCUGAUAUCUGCAGGAACACCAAAGGCGAAGGCAGUUUGCUGGAACACUUCUGACACUCAGGGACGAAAGCGUGGGGAGCGAAUAGGAUUAGAUACCCUAGUAGUCCACGCCCUAAACGAUGUGCACUAGGUAUUGGGAGUAUCGACCCUCUCAGUGCCGUUUAAAAAAGCAAAUGCGUUAAGUGCACCGCCUGGGGAGUACGGCCGCAAGGUUAGAACUCAAAGGAAUAGACGGGGACCCGCACAAGUAGAGGAUCAUGUGGUUUAAUUCGACGGUACACGGCGAACCUUACCAAGGCUCAACUACUAGCUGCAAGCCGGUGGAAACAUUGGCCGCUUCCGAAGGUGCUAGAUAGGUGCUGCAUGGUUGCCGUCAGCUCGUGCCGUGAGGUGUACCCUUAAGUCGGGAAACGAGCGCAACCCCUUUCGUGUGUUAUAUAUGUCACACGAUACUGCCC